CGCCAGGAUAUACACCCCAAGGCGAUGGGGACUUUUGAACUUUGUUCCCUCCUGUGCCCCAGGACCCAGAACACGUCCUGGCACAUGCUGAGUGUGCAGUCAAGGCCUCCUGAGCGAGUGGCCUCGUGUGCCCUUUGGAAGCAGCUCUUAGACAACAGGCCGCCCCACGACCACUCCAUCCCUGGAAAGGCUACGUCUGCAAAAAACAGGAAAGCUGACCCCACUCAGCUGCAGACUCAUUGCUGAGGGCGAGUCAGCAAGACCGAGACCUCAGGAGAGCAUGCCCAGCGGGCAGGAGGCCUGGGUGCUAGCCCCAGCCGACACCUCCCUGCACCGACUGGCAGGCCCUUCCUGCCUGGGCUGGCAGACGUAUGAAACUCUCAGACCCUGAUCACGACAGAAGGUGGAGGGAAGACAGACAUCAUUAGGCAGGGCUAACUUUUAUUUGAAGCCAGAAAACACCCUAUUGGGGUUCAUCUGUAAUCUGUGACAGUAAAAAAAAACAGGAGAGGAACCAGAACCCAAAGGGCCUGGGGAGGAAAG
Long non-coding RNA from Pipistrellus kuhlii (Kuhl's pipistrelle), 543 nucleotides. RefSeq lists it as uncharacterized. The record is from RefSeq and is a predicted model, not a curated record. The transcript is spliced from 2 exons. NCBI's taxonomy places the organism in Eukaryota, Metazoa, Chordata, Mammalia, Chiroptera, Vespertilionidae.